Molecule: ribosomal RNA, 403 nt
Filed under: Trimma benjamini
Lineage: Eukaryota; Metazoa; Chordata; Actinopteri; Gobiiformes; Gobiidae
Description: partial 12S ribosomal RNA
Rfam family: Bacterial small subunit ribosomal RNA
Source: RNAcentral
UAAACUGGGAUUAGAUACCCCACUAUGCUUACCUUAAACAAAAUACACCAACCAUUCGCCAGGGGACAACGAGCACUGUUUUUUCAGCUUAAAACCCAAAGGACUUGGCGGUGCUUUACUUCCCUCUAGAGGAGCCUGUUUUAGAAUCGAUACCCCCCGAUCCACCUUACCUUCUUUUGUAUCUCAGCUUAUAUACCACCGUCGUCAGCUUACCCUGCAAGGGAUCAUAAGUAAGCAUAAUUGGUGAACCCCAGCACGUCAGGUCAAGGUGUAGCCAACAAGAAGGAUAAAAUGGGCUACAUUUUCUGACUCAGAAAACAAACGGAAUGCAUACUGAAAUACAUGUCUGAAGGAGGAUUUAGUAGUAAGAUUAGAACAGAGGUAAUCUGAAGCCGGAAGGGCG